Molecule: ribosomal RNA, 253 nt
Filed under: uncultured bacterium
Lineage: Bacteria
Description: partial 16S ribosomal RNA
Rfam family: Bacterial small subunit ribosomal RNA
Source: RNAcentral
UACAGGGGGGGUAAGCGUUGUUCGGAAUUACUGGGCGUAAAGGGCUCGUAAGCGGCCAACUAAGUCGGACGUGAAAUCCCUCAGCUUAACUGGGGAACUGCGUCCGAUACUGGAUGGCUUGGAUUUGGGAGAGGGAUGCGGAAUUCCAGGUGUAGCGGUGAAAUGCGUAGAUAUCUGGAGGAACACCGGUGGCGAAGGCGGCAUUCUGGACCGACAUUGACGCUGAGGAGCGAAAGCCAGGGGAGCAAACGGG